CUAAUAGAUUGUUGCCAUUGUAUAAGUAAUUGUUCCUUGGGUAGAAUAAAGGUUAUAUAUAAUUUACGUGUCGAUUAUGAUGUAAUGGGAAUUAUUUUGCCAUAGACAUACAUACGCAUCAUGACCCUGCCUCGCAUAUGUCGGCCGUCUAGAGCUACCGGCGAAAUGUUAAUUAAUUUCUUAAACACCUAUAAAUAAUAUAACCUCUGGUCACGGAUGACUGGAACAGAAGUCACUCAAGUAUAUAAGUGGUAUGUUCUACCAAGUAUUCUCAGCUCCUGUGAAAGAUAACCUUUGGUGGCCUAAUUCCGGCUUCUUUUACGACUGAAAAGAUUACCGAAAAAGAAACAGACAAGGAUAUAAAAAUUCAUGAAAAAAUGGAAUGCAGUGCAUACAGUUUUGAAUAACAAGGAUGCAGUUUUAGUGGUCAUCAUAGGAUAAUAACCACUGUACAAUAAUGUACAUUCACCUGAAGAAGGAUGAAAAUCCAGAAAGCGCUAGUGAAUAGAAACUUUGGAACUGUUCAUUUUCUUUUUCUUUUUUGAUUAUUUAUACUGUGUGAUAUCACCUUUCACUCAUUUUGGAUUAUAUAUAUAUAUAUAUAUAUAUAUAUAUAUAUAUAUAUAUAUAUA
Long non-coding RNA from Magallana angulata, 632 nucleotides. RefSeq lists it as uncharacterized. The record is from RefSeq and is a predicted model, not a curated record. NCBI's taxonomy places the organism in Eukaryota, Metazoa, Mollusca, Bivalvia, Ostreida, Ostreidae. The transcript is spliced from 3 exons.